ACUCAAAUGAAUAGACGGGGGCCCGCACAAGCAGUGGAGUAUGUGGUUUAAUUCGAAGCAACGCGAAGAACCUUACCAGGUCUUGACAUCCCAAGAAUCCUGUAGAGAUACGGGAGUGCCUUCGGGAGCUUGGAGACAGGUGGUGCAUGGUUGUCGUCAGCUCGUGUCGUGAGAUGUUGGGUUAAGUCCCGCAACGAGCGCAACCCUUACGGUUAGUUGCUACGCAAGAGCACUCUAGCCGGACUGCCGUUGACAAAACGGAGGAAGGUGGGGACGACGUCAAAUCAUCAUGCCCCUUAUGACCUGGGCUACACACGUACUACAAUGGCGAUUAACAAAGGGAAGCAAGGCAGUGAUGCGGAGCAAAUCCCCAAAAAUCGUCUCAGUUCAGAUUGCAGGCUGCAACUCGCCUGCAUGAAGUCGGAAUUGCUAGUAAUCGCAGAUCAGCAUGCUGCGGUGAAUACGUUCCCGGGCCUUGUACACACCGCCCGU
Molecule: ribosomal RNA, 492 nt
Filed under: uncultured bacterium
Lineage: Bacteria
Description: bacterial SSU rRNA
Rfam family: Bacterial small subunit ribosomal RNA
Source: RNAcentral